Molecule: long non-coding RNA, 1315 nt
Organism: Brassica rapa (field mustard)
Lineage: Eukaryota; Viridiplantae; Streptophyta; Magnoliopsida; Brassicales; Brassicaceae
Source: RefSeq, a predicted model, not a curated record
UUAAUAUACAUUAAUACAAAUGUGGAAUGUGUUUAGAAAUUUUAAAAUAAUACUAAAGAUCAUAUGCUUUAGUAUAAAGAGCAUUUACCAAAAAAUUCAAUACUUUCAUAGGGGUUAACACAUAGAUUUUGAGAAAAAUUCAAAAAUAUGAAAGUAUUGUUUUAAUGCAUGGUUGCAUCAUGCACUAACAUAUGAUGAAGGUCAAAGAGGUUUAAAACCUUUGUUAUCUCCGUUUAUCUAGAGAAUACCGAUUUUAUAGUGGUUAGUCCACCAAUUGAGAAAGUAUUAAGAACUUUUACUAAAUUAAUUGAUAAAAAAUUAAAACAAUGUCAAUGUACCAUGAAAGAGAGUUUAAUAUACAAUAAUACAAAUGUAGAUUGUGUUUUAAAAUUUCCCAAAACCAACACUAAAGAUCAUACACUUCAGUAUAUAGAGCAUUUCCCAAAAAAUUCAAUACUUUUAUAGGGGUUAACAAAUAGAUUUUGAGAAAAAUUCAAAAAUAUGAAAAUACAGUUUUAAUGCAUGGUUGCAUAAUGCACUAACAUAUGAUGAAGGUCAACUUGGUUUGGUACCUUUGUUGUCUCUGUUUCUUUAGAUAAAAGCGAGUUUAUAGUGGAUCAUCCACCAAUUUAGGGAGUUUUAUGAAGUUAUACUAAAUUAAUUUCUAAAAAAUUAAAAAAAUUCCCAUGUACCAAGAAAGAGUUUAAUAUAAAUUAAUACAAAUGUAGAAUGUGUUUAGAAAUUUUAAAACAACACUACAACAUUUACCAAAAAACUCAAUAUUUUCGUAGGGGUUAACACGUAGCUUUUGAGAAAAAUUCAAAAAUUUGAGAAGACUGUUUUAAUUCAUGGUUGCAUCAUUCACAAACAUAUAAUGAAGGUUAAAGAGGUUUAAUACCCUUGUUGUCUUCAUUUCUCUAGAGAGUAACGAUUUUAUAAAGGUUAGUCCACCAAUUUAUGUAGUAUUAUGAACUUUUACUAAAUUAAUUGAUAAAAAACUUAAAAUGAUGUCCAUAUACCUUGAAAGAUAGUUUAAUAUACAUUAAUAUAAAUGUAGAUUGUGUUUAGAAAUUUUAAAAUAACACCAGCGCAUUUACCAAAAAACUCAAUAUUUUCGUAGGGCUUAACACAUAUAUUUUGAGAAAAAUUCAAAAAUUUGAGAAUAUUAUUUUAAUGUAUAGUUGCAUCCUGCACUAAAAUAUAAUGAACGUCAAAGAGGUUUGGAACCUUUGUUGACUCCGUUUCUCUAGAGAAUAACAAUUUAUAAUGGUUCAUCCACCAAUUUUGGGAGUUUUAUGAAGUUUACUAAAUUAAU